AUGAGGACAGCAGUAGCUUGCACCCGUCUUCACUACCAUCGUCAGAUGACUAGGUGCCUCACAAACCACAUAUCUCUACUUUUUCAACCUCCUUCGAUACCCCCACCUCGUUCACUACCCCACCCUCAUGGCAUUAGCCCAUUGCCUGAUGAAGAAGAUGAGAGUAGGGAAGAAGAAGAAGAUGAUGAUGAUGAGGUGGAGGAGAGUGGUGGUGGGCACAUCCUCGCUUCAGCGCUGAACAGGAAAGCCUCCCCGCCACCAUUAGGGAGCUCUUGGUUGCACCGCAAGCUGCAAGGCCUUGUCAAAUCACUCAUGUCGCUUAACGGCUAUGGCCUCUCGCUGGUCAAGAUGGAUCAUUUUGUGCAGAACCCACGGACAUGCCUUUUCCUUGGUGCGGGCAAGGCACACAUAACUCCAGCAAAGCUUCCUGAUGGACAUCCUGCUUCACAUUUCGCAAAGGUGCUGCCCAUGGUUGCUCCAGUUACUCGAGCUCAGCGCCACCUGCUUGCAUGA
This 513-nucleotide ribosomal RNA is filed under the name Triticum aestivum (bread wheat). Its description in RNAcentral is "partial small subunit ribosomal RNA". The record is from RNAcentral. Lineage: Eukaryota; Viridiplantae; Streptophyta; Magnoliopsida; Poales; Poaceae.